AGUAGUUUGAUCAUGGCUCAGGACGAACGCUGGCGGCGUGCCUAACACAUGCAAGUCGAGCGGAGACAUUUGGAAAGCUUGCUUUUUGGAUGUUUCAGCGGCGGACGGGUGAGUAACGCGUGAGCAACCUGCCUUUGACAGGGGGAUAACGCAUCGAAAGAUGUGCUAAUACCGCAUAAGACCACAACGCUACAUAGCGAAGGGGUCAAAGGAGUAAUCCGGUUAAAGAUGGGCUCGCGUCCGAUUAGCUAGUUGGUGAGAUAACAGCCCACCAAGGCGACGAUCGGUAGCCGACCUGAGAGGGUGGACGGCCACAUUGGGACUGAGACACGGCCCAGACUCC
This 343-nucleotide ribosomal RNA is filed under the name uncultured Eubacteriales bacterium. RNAcentral describes it as "bacterial SSU rRNA". It matches the Rfam family "Bacterial small subunit ribosomal RNA", at positions 1 to 339 of the family's 1533-position model. The record is from RNAcentral. Lineage: Bacteria; Bacillati; Bacillota; Clostridia; Eubacteriales.